AUGACCGGUAUAGGGAUUACUAAGGGGACUAAAGAAACAAGAACAACAAUGACUAAUUCAAACGCCAAUAUAUUCCCAAAACAAAAGCUAAGCGAUAAUGGUUUUGUGAAAUCUUCUAUGAUGUUAAUUGGUAAAAGGAUUGGAGUUGGUUUAAUAUAUUUCUUAAAAAAGCUCAAUCUUUUUUGCUAA
Molecule: ribosomal RNA, 189 nt
Filed under: Triticum aestivum (bread wheat)
Lineage: Eukaryota; Viridiplantae; Streptophyta; Magnoliopsida; Poales; Poaceae
Description: partial small subunit ribosomal RNA
Source: RNAcentral